This 575-nucleotide long non-coding RNA is filed under the name Pan troglodytes (chimpanzee). RNAcentral describes it as "long non-coding RNA NONPTRT014131". The record is from RNAcentral. Lineage: Eukaryota; Metazoa; Chordata; Mammalia; Primates; Hominidae.
GCCGGGUGCGGCGGGAGACGGCCCGGGAGGCGGGAGGUCGCGGACCUGCCCGACAGAAGAGUAGAUGAGGGGAGACCGAGGACGCCCGGGUCCGGGGAGCGUACGAGGAGGCCGGGAUCGCGGGUUCACGUGGGCACCUUGGAACACUGAAGAAGGCAUUUUCCGAACUCACUGUCCUACGGACUUAUUCUCCGCACUGUUUUCGCCUCCUUCGCCCUGUUCUCGUGACUGACAGCAGCAGGGGUCACAAGCAGGCAGCCCGAGAGCUCUGCUCACCUGGAAAAGCAUUUUUGUGUAGCUUAAAUGUGAAGGCCUCAGGCAGUGGCCUGGUGUCCUCCUCCACAUGCGCCCAUCUUCGCUCUUUCAUGUGACUGGCCUGUUUUUGAAGGCAGGACCCUGUCACCCUUGGCUAGGCCAGGUAUGUUCUGCACCGAAAAUGGCCCUGCCCUCUGCAUUGGAUGGCUAGCUUUUAGGUUGGUUUAUUUUAGCAAAUAAGCGUUACAGGGUAGGCGAACUGGCUGCAUCAGAACCUCAAUUACCCCUGUGUCUCUGGGUGGGAUAAAUGGCGGAUGGCA